This 2335-nucleotide ribosomal RNA is filed under the name Salmonella enterica. Its description in RNAcentral is "partial 23S ribosomal RNA". It matches the Rfam family "Bacterial large subunit ribosomal RNA", at positions 711 to 2925 of the family's 2925-position model. RNAcentral also lists the same sequence under 1 other name. Lineage: Bacteria; Pseudomonadati; Pseudomonadota; Gammaproteobacteria; Enterobacterales; Enterobacteriaceae. The record is from RNAcentral.
AGACCCGAAACCCGGUGAUCUAGCCAUGGGCAGGUUGAAGGUUGGGUAACACUAACUGGAGGACCGAACCGACUAAUGUUGAAAAAUUAGCGGAUGACCUGUGGCUGGGGGUGAAAGGCCAAUCAAACCGGGAGAUAGCUGGUUCUCCCCGAAAGCUAUUUAGGUAGCGCCUCGUGAAUUCAUCUCCGGGGGUAGAGCACUGUUUCGGCUAGGGGGCCAUCCCGGCUUACCAACCCGAUGCAAACUGCGAAUACCGGAGAAUGUUAUCACGGGAGACACACGGCGGGUGCUAACGUCCGUCGUGAAGAGGGAAACAACCCAGACCGCCAGCUAAGGUCCCAAAGUCAUGGUUAAGUGGGAAACGAUGUGGGAAGGCCCAGACAGCCAGGAUGUUGGCUUAGAAGCAGCCAUCAUUUAAAGAAAGCGUAAUAGCUCACUGGUCGAGUCGGCCUGCGCGGAAGAUGUAACGGGGCUAAACCAUGCACCGAAGCUGCGGCAGCGAACGUAUCACCCAAGACAACUUUACGGAGUUGACGAUUGACGGAGCGAAGCGACGUCAAAGCGUUCAUUAAAGUCGAGUUGGCUUAGGGAUACGUUCGUUGGGUAGGGGAGCGUUCUGUAAGCCUGUGAAGGUGUGUCGUGAGGCAUGCUGGAGGUAUCAGAAGUGCGAAUGCUGACAUAAGUAACGAUAAAGCGGGUGAAAAGCCCGCUCGCCGGAAGACCAAGGGUUCCUGUCCAACGUUAAUCGGGGCAGGGUGAGUCGACCCCUAAGGCGAGGCCGAAAGGCGUAGUCGAUGGGAAACGGGUUAAUAUUCCCGUACUUGGUGUUACUGCGAAGGGGGGACGGAGAAGGCUAUGUUGGCCGGGCGACGGUUGUCCCGGUUUAAGCGUGUAGGUGUGUGUUCCAGGUAAAUCCGGUUCACUUUAACACUGAGGCGUGACGACGAGGCACUACGGUGCUGAAGCAACAAAUGCCCUGCUUCCAGGAAAAGCCUCUAAGCAUCAGGUAACACGAAAUCGUACCCCAAACCGACACAGGUGGUCAGGUAGAGAAUACCAAGGCGCUUGAGAGAACUCGGGUGAAGGAACUAGGCAAAAUGGUGCCGUAACUUCGGGAGAAGGCACGCUGACACGUAGGUGAAGUGAUUUACUCAUGGAGCUGAAGUCAGUCGAAGAUACCAGCUGGCUGCAACUGUUUAUUAAAAACACAGCACUGUGCAAACACGAAAGUGGACGUAUACGGUGUGACGCCUGCCCGGUGCCGGAAGGUUAAUUGAUGGGGUCAGCGCAAGCGAAGCUCCUGAUCGAAGCCCCGGUAAACGGCGGCCGUAACUAUAACGGUCCUAAGGUAGCGAAAUUCCUUGUCGGGUAAGUUCCGACCUGCACGAAUGGCGUAAUGAUGGCCAGGCUGUCUCCACCCGAGACUCAGUGAAAUUGAACUCGCUGUGAAGAUGCAGUGUACCCGCGGCAAGACGGAAAGACCCCGUGAACCUUUACUAUAGCUUGACACUGAACAUUGAGCCUUGAUGUGUAGGAUAGGUGGGAGGCUUUGAAGUGUGGACGCCAGUCUGCAUGGAGCCGACCUUGAAAUACCACCCUUUAAUGUUUGAUGUUCUAACGUGGACCCGUAAUCCGGGUUGCGGACAGUGUCUGGUGGGUAGUUUGACUGGGGCGGUCUCCUCCUAAAGAGUAACGGAGGAGCACGAAGGUUGGCUAAUCCUGGUCGGACAUCAGGAGGUUAGUGCAAUGGCAUAAGCCAGCUUGACUGCGAGCGUGACGGCGCGAGCAGGUGCGAAAGCAGGUCAUAGUGAUCCGGUGGUUCUGAAUGGAAGGGCCAUCGCUCAACGGAUAAAAGGUACUCCGGGGAUAACAGGCUGAUACCGCCCAAGAGUUCAUAUCGACGGCGGUGUUUGGCACCUCGAUGUCGGCUCAUCACAUCCUGGGGCUGAAGUAGGUCCCAAGGGUAUGGCUGUUCGCCAUUUAAAGUGGUACGCGAGCUGGGUUUAGAACGUCGUGAGACAGUUCGGUCCCUAUCUGCCGUGGGCGCUGGAGAACUGAGGGGGGCUGCUCCUAGUACGAGAGGACCGGAGUGGACGCAUCACUGGUGUUCGGGUUGUCAUGCCAAUGGCACUGCCCGGUAGCUAAAUGCGGAAGAGAUAAGUGCUGAAAGCAUCUAAGCACGAAACUUGCCCCGAGAUGAGUUCUCCCUGAGACUUUAGGUCUCCUGAAGGAACGUUGAAGACGACGACGUUGAUAGGCCGGGUGUGUAAGCGCAGCGAUGCGUUGAGCUAACCGGUACUAAUGAACCGUGAGGCUUAACCUUACAACGCCGAAG